Spinacia oleracea (spinach) is the source of this 626-nucleotide long non-coding RNA. RefSeq lists it as uncharacterized. The record is from RefSeq and is a predicted model, not a curated record. Lineage: Eukaryota; Viridiplantae; Streptophyta; Magnoliopsida; Caryophyllales; Amaranthaceae. The transcript is spliced from 3 exons.
UCCCCACACAAUAGAGAAUCCAUAAUUCUUUCUCUCUCUUCAUUCAGUUUUCUCUCUCCUCUUGCAAAUCCUCUCUACUAUCGGGCUUCAUCUUCUUCAACAUUCUCGUUGUCCUUGCAAAUAUCUUCGAAAAAAAAUUGCAACUCUUUUCCAAUUAAUUUGUCAGGCUGCCAAUUGGAGGGACAUUUUGGCUGUUAAUAUUGCAAAUUCUGGCCAUCUUGAUCCCGAAGAAUUACCUGAAAUAUGCAGGUAUGUUUGCACUUUGGCAGUAGCUAGUUGCCGUAGACCUGAUGCAGGAUGUUCGAAUCUGAAGUCAACUGUACAAGGUUGAAUUUUGUAGCAGGUCGAUACAUAGUCUGUUAUGCUAAGAGAGGUUCCUGAAUGAUGGGUUGGUUUUGUGGACUCUGUUGGAGUUUCUUAACUACUUUUGUCUUUUUUUCUUCUUUACUUCGACUGUCAAUUUACGCUACUUAUUAUCAGAUAGCAAUGAGAGUACACAAUAACAUAGACACGUAGCAAUGGCUUUAUUGCAUAUAAUUAAGUUUUUUUUACUUUUUGUAUUAUUUUAUUUACUUUUAAUGUGAAAACCUUUACUUUAAUCUCAUAUUACUUCUUUGUUAUUCUUA